Molecule: long non-coding RNA, 1040 nt
Filed under: Homo sapiens (human)
Lineage: Eukaryota; Metazoa; Chordata; Mammalia; Primates; Hominidae
Description: HSALNT0304661
Source: RNAcentral
CAAAACGUUGUGCUCCUCGAUAACAGAAACACACUUCUGUUCCGAGGUCUGUCCCCUUCUUCCUCCCCCCCUUUCGUCGUACUUAAUUCUCGAAUCGCUCCCCGGCCUCUCUCCCCCCUCCACGCUGCCCCACCCCAUCCGCCCCCUCCCUUUGCGAGUGUGAUUGUUUUGUCUGGAAAAAAAAAAUCCAAAGUAUAUAACAAGGGGAGAACAGUUAGUGCUGAUUUUCAUUUGCAUACAUUUUCAUAUAUUUUGGUGAAAAUAAUAGACUAGUGGAGAGCUGGGCUUCGAGGCGUCAGUGUGAAGGGAAGGCUAAGGACGCAUCGGUGCUGGAGAGUUGAGAAUAUGCCUUCCCCUCCACCCCCAACCCAGUCACCUUAUUUGAAAAAAAAUUAAAAAACACCUUUUAUUUAAAAACCUAACCCUGGAAGUUUGCUCGCUGCCUGAAAAUCAUAUGCGUGGUUUUUCCUGUUUCCUGCUCUGUAGCUGACAUCAGGGGAGCAACGUGAACACAGGAAAAUGGAAAUCAACAUUUGAAACUUUUAAAUGGAAGCUUUAUUGGGGUUCCACAUAUGGAAAACUGCAAAUAGCAGAAGUAUGUGACUCAAUAAAUUAUUCUGGAGUGACCACAUCCUCUAACUGCCUCCCAGGACAAGACGGAGAAUGUGAACAAUGCUCCUGAAGGCCCCUUUCCCUCAAAGGUAACCACUGGCCUGACUUCUGACACCAUACAUUUGUUUUGCUUUUUUGAACUUCAUGUAAAUGGAAUCAUAUGAAUCACUGCAAUUGAAGGAAAAAUGCUCCAUGUCCCCUCUGCCAGUUGGUGUUUAUCAAAGGACAACGGAGGAAGAGAGACAAAGUGCCUGGAUGUGUGUGUUAAUCAAGAGUUGUCAGGACCCUGCCUCUAAAAGAAAGCGCUAAAAUGAUGCUUUUGACAAGACUUUUCUCAAAGUGGAUGCAGUCUAAGGGUUGGAAAACAAGGCCCAAUCAGGCUAGGUCUGACUUGUCGCCUGCUUUUGUAAAUAAAGUUUUAUUGGCUC